This 467-nucleotide ribosomal RNA is filed under the name uncultured bacterium. RNAcentral describes it as "partial 16S ribosomal RNA". It matches the Rfam family "Bacterial small subunit ribosomal RNA", at positions 28 to 507 of the family's 1533-position model. The record is from RNAcentral.
GACGAACGCUGCGGCGUGCUUAACACAUGCAAGUCGGACGGGAAGGCCCUGCCUUUUUGGGGUGCUCGAGUGGCGAACGGGGGAGUAACACGGGAGUAACCUUCCCUUGGCUUUGGGAUAACUUCAGGAAACUGGGGCUAAUACCGGAUAAGAGCCUCUGCCGCAUUGGGGGGGGUGGGAAGGUUCGGCGGUUGGGGAUGGACUCGCGGCUUAUCAGCUUGUUGGUGGGGUAGUGGCUUACCAAGGCUUUGACGGGUAGCCGGCCUGAGAGGGUGACCGGCCACAUUGGGACUGAGAUACGGCCCAGACUCCUACGGGAGGCAGCAGUGGGGAAUAUUGCACAAUGGGCGGAAGCCUGAUGCAGCAACGCCGCGUGCGGGAUGACGGCCUUCGGGUUGUAAACCGCUUUCGCCUGUGACGAAGCGUGAGUGACGGUAAUGGGUAAAGAAGCACCGGCUAACUACGUG